Cavia porcellus (domestic guinea pig) is the source of this 96-nucleotide small nuclear RNA. Lineage: Eukaryota; Metazoa; Chordata; Mammalia; Rodentia; Caviidae. The record is from Ensembl.
GUACUUUGACAGCACAUAUACUAAAACUGGAACAAUAUAGAGAAGAUUAGCAUGGUCUCCUGCAAAGAUAACACACAUGAGACAUUCCAUAUUUUU